Hydractinia symbiolongicarpus is the source of this 3061-nucleotide RNA transcript. RefSeq lists it as uncharacterized. The record is from RefSeq and is a predicted model, not a curated record. The transcript is spliced from 7 exons. Lineage: Eukaryota; Metazoa; Cnidaria; Hydrozoa; Anthoathecata; Hydractiniidae.
GAGCAAUGUUGCUAAAAAGAAACAUGACUGCAAAACAUUCUCUGUGACGCCUGGGAUUGCAGAAGAAAGCAGUUUGGCAAAAUAAACAGACUUUUGAGUUAACAAAAUUAUAGCAUUAACUUUAUAAUGACAACGUUUUCAGAUUCAAAGCUUCUGGCAAUAAACACUUUUUAAACGAUUUCUUAAAAUGCCACAAGGCCACAGACGAGAACACUAGUCGUGACUAGCUUUGGGAGAAUGACUUCGACAAGACUUGAUGAUGAUUGGUUUAAAAGCUCUAAUCUUAUAUCGAGAUAAUUCCUGGGAACGAUGUUAAUUAUAAAAAUUAGGAAAAAGGCAUGGUUUUAAUUAAUGGGUGAAAUGACGAAAGUCUUUCACAUUUCACUAAAGAAGUUAUGCUGACAGGCAUGGAAAAUGUUUGUGGUUCUACCAACAUAACGAAAUGACUUAGCAUAUAUACAUAUACAGCGCUAUCCUGAUUGACACAAAAUGUGUAAAUGUAGUUAACGAUAUCUGUUUUUAAAUGAUUUGUUUUGUUAAAAAUUUCAAGUAGUUAGUGUUUACCGCAUAACAGCUAGGUAUUUCCAAGUUUGAUUCAACAUUUUAGAGUCUUAGCCAAUAAGGGCUACAUAUUUUUGACUGAAUGCUGUGCUAAAUCAGUGGUCAUUCAAUUGUUGUGGUAGGUUGUGUUGUUUUUAAUUAGCUAUUGCUGCGUAAAAACCACUUUACUUGUGCAAAAUCAUGAUAUAAUUUUGCUAUUUUUAUUUUAUUUAUCUGUUGUUGUUUAUGGUGUACUAUGAUCUAAUAAUACAAAUAAAGCCUAUUUACAAUGCAGUUUGUGUUGUUGUUGUUGCUUAUUUCUCUAUCUUUCUCCUUUUUGAUGUGAUUAAAUGUUUCAAAUAGAAUAAAUAUCAAAAGUUUUAUUAGUAAUAGAUACGGUUUUGCAUGUCUUUUACAGAAUAUAGUUUCUCCAAAUUUAUAGCCUGAAUAUUGCCCCAAAAACAAUUAUAUUCACCAAUAACUUGCGAAAACAAGCCUGCAAAUAUUUUUCUGGAUGUGGAAAAAAGAAGUUUUUCUGGCUAGCUAAGUAUAGUCUAUUAUAAGAUUAAAAAGGGAAAACACGAGGCCAAAUUUUCACGCAGAUACAAUUUACUAUAUACAGGUUGAAGCAGGAUCGUAUCAUGAUCGUCUAUCGCGGUGAAUGAACAUAAACAACACUAUACAUAACAUAACGAGUUAUCAUAAUGGCAACCUGGCUACAAAGCCAUAAUGGCUCUAGGGUGGUUAAAAAGUGACAGUUUCUGGGCUCCCAACAUGAUAUAAUAUAUAAAAUGAAACAAACCGACCUGACUACAUGCAAUAUCUGUCCUGAAGAAAUAUCUGAAGGUUUCUCCUGAUACCAGAGGUACAUGAUCCAAAAUUUGCUAGAGUCAUUGGUUGUCAUUGGAUGCGCUGCCAUUAGCUAUAGUAAUUGAAGCCAAAAGAUGGAGUUGAUGAUAUUAGUAGGUUGCAGUGAUAGAUGCUUCUUGAAAACGUGGAGCUAGCUUAAAAUUAUUUCAGUUAAGGAAGUUAUUGCUACUACUGGUGAGAAGCUAAAUCAGAGUGACUCCCUCCUAUUUAUAGGGCCCCUGGAUUGUUGAUUGGCUAUCUUAGAACCUCCUAAUAUGGACAUACUAUACCCAAUCCUUUAGUCCCCAACUCUAAAGUAUCAACAACAAGAAAGUUGCUUCAAGUUAUGACACAUAGCUUUGAUUUGCUUAAUUGGGAUAAAGAUGCCUUGGGUGAGGAGCAAGACAACCUUGUCUACCCUUAAUGAUGCAUCUGCAUAGCAACUGUCAAGUAUUGGGAACUGCAAUUAACAUGAGCUAAACUGUGUUUAGCGCCAUGUAGUGAUGGGUUAAAUAACCAUAUAUUUCUUUAUAAAUUCAAGUGUUGCUUUAUUGUGCUGCAAAUAUAUACCCGGGGUCUUCAUAAACCAGACACAUGCUGAAGCAAUACGGUAUCAUGCUCAAAGCUCUUCAUAAAGACAAUUUUUAUAACUUUAAAGGAUGAUUUCUAUCUUAACGAUCAUUACAAAAAGUUGAAAAACCUACAGAUAUUGCAGGAAGAUUCUGCACAUUAUCUAAAGAUCCUGAAACUGUCACUGCACAAAAGAUUAAUGAUGCCAUUGGUUAUGGUGUCUUUGCCAAAGUAGAUUUCUGUAAAGGAGACUUUAUUGUUGAUUAUAGAGGUGAUAGGAUAUCAAAAUUUGAAGCAGAAAAGAAGAUGAAGCUGUAUACACGACAAGGAUUGGGCAGCUUUAUUUAUCAUGGUGUCAAGGAUAUUUAUGGCAAAUCCUUUUGGAGGAACAGGAAUCUACGCAAGCCCAUAAAUUUACCCAAAGAUAUGGAGUCUAUGUUGAUUACAUAUCAAACAGGAAAAGGAGCUGACCAUCUUGUGCCUGUAAUUUUUCCUUCAGAAACCAUCCCAGCAAUGAAGUACUUAACAGACGAUAAGAUACGACAAGAUGCUGGUGUGCAUAAGGAUAGCCCGUAUAUAUUUGCGAGUACACAGAAUAGUCGUAGUCAUGCAAGUGGUUGGCACUGUAUCAACGAGAUUCUGAAGCGGUUAUCUUUAAAAGGAGCUAUAAAUGCUACAAAGAACAGGCAUCGUGUUGCGUCGCUUCUUGCAAAGUUGCAGUUAUCAGAAAAGGAAAAGGACUUGAUAUUUAAACAUUUUGGUCAUUCAAAACAUAUGAAUGAAGAGGUAUACCAAGCUCCCCCUGGGUCUCAACAGCUUAAAACAACUGCACCACGUCUGCAAGAGAUAACAUCUGGAUUGAUGAAAAACCAUCCAAAAUUGAAUUUUCCUGAUGAGUCACGUGGUGUUCCUUCGACCAUGAAACCGUAAUUAAGUCCUUUAACCAUGAAACCUCAAUCAUUGGAUGCUGAACCUAGUUUGCUAAAAGUUGGGAAGGUUGCUGUUACUGAGAAAAGUGUUUUGGCUGCUAGAAAGUAUCCAAAAAGGAAAAGAGGCAAAGUGAGAUACGGUGAUCCUGAAUUCAGGGAUGAAACCUUGACUG